UGAGCAAUCUGCCCUUCUCAUCGGAAUAAGCGUUGGAAACGACGUCUAAUGCCGAAUACGACCUCCUUUCGCAUGAUCGGAGGUGGAAAGCUCCGGCGGAGGAGGAUGAGCUCGCGGCCUAUCAGCUAGUUGGUGUGGGUAAUGGCCCACCAAGGCGACGACGGGUAGCCGGCCUGAGAGGGUGACCGGCCACACUGGGACUGAGACACGGCCCAGACUCCUACGGGAGCAG
This 232-nucleotide ribosomal RNA is filed under the name uncultured bacterium. RNAcentral describes it as "partial 16S ribosomal RNA". It matches the Rfam family "Bacterial small subunit ribosomal RNA", at positions 118 to 347 of the family's 1533-position model. The record is from RNAcentral.